Nycticebus coucang (slow loris) is the source of this 484-nucleotide long non-coding RNA. RefSeq lists it as uncharacterized. The record is from RefSeq and is a predicted model, not a curated record. The transcript is spliced from 3 exons. Lineage: Eukaryota; Metazoa; Chordata; Mammalia; Primates; Lorisidae.
CUUCACGAACAGAACCGUCUGGCCGGGCUCCUGUUUUCUGAGGGUUUCCUAAAAGGCGAGCACCCGGCCCUUCCCCGCUUCCGCCCCGGCUGCGGUUGCCGGCGGGGCUCUGGAGGGAAGCGACUCUGCGGAGCCGCGGUCACCUCCGGAGGUCCUCGCCCCUCAGUCCCUUUAUUCCCGAAGCCUGGCCCGGCCGUGCCGGGCGCCCUGGGAAGGCGGGGAUGGUUCCGAUGGAGACGCAGCUGCAGAGCAUUUUUGAGGAGGUGGUGAAGACGGAAAUUAUAGAAGAGGCUUUCCCCGGGAUGGACUAAUGUGUAUUGUGAAUAUCAUUUGACUGCCAAGCAGUGAUUGUGCGUCUCUUCUGGACAGGCCCUGGGACUGUGGUGAGGACAAGACAAGGUCUCCAUUCGGGAGAAGCUGGCAGCCUUGCCCCUUAUUUUUCAAACUGCAAUACAUUCUAUUCAAAAUAAAGCACAUAAACACA